Molecule: long non-coding RNA, 331 nt
Filed under: Carica papaya (papaya)
Lineage: Eukaryota; Viridiplantae; Streptophyta; Magnoliopsida; Brassicales; Caricaceae
Description: long non-coding RNA (CPAP_LNC001626)
Source: RNAcentral
AUAAGACUACUUAGCUUCCAUCACAAUGAGAAACAUAAAGGGAGAAAGUGGGUCCCCCCUGUCUCAACCCUUUAGAUGCCUUGAAGAAAGAAGAAGAACCACCAUUAACUAUAAUGGCAAAAGAGGGCGUAAUAAAUACAAGAUCUCACCACCUCCUCCACUUCUGCCCAAACUCCGAUCUGGCCAACAUAUAGUCCACAAAGUCCCAAUUAACAUGAUCGUAUGUCCUAUGGCACUCAAUAAACAGUGCUUGCUCUCAUUCCUUCCAAUUGCAGUUGUUAUUCUCUUUUCUUCUUGUCUGUUAAUUGGCUAGGAAUAUUGAUUCUAGAAU